RNAcentral lists this ribosomal RNA (207 nucleotides) under uncultured bacterium. RNAcentral describes it as "partial 16S ribosomal RNA". It matches the Rfam family "Bacterial small subunit ribosomal RNA", at positions 568 to 774 of the family's 1533-position model. The record is from RNAcentral.
AGCGUAGGCCGUGAGGUAAGCGUGUUGUGAAAUGUAGGCGCCCAACGUCUGCACUGCAGCGCGAACUGCCCCACUUGAGUGCGCGCAACGCCGGCGGAACUCCUCGUGUAGCGGUGAAAUGCUUAGAUAUGACGAAGAACCCCGAUUGCGAAGGCAGCUGGCGGGAGCGUAACUGACGCUGAAGCUCGAAAGCGCGGGUAUCGAACA